This 264-nucleotide ribosomal RNA is filed under the name uncultured bacterium. RNAcentral describes it as "partial 16S ribosomal RNA". It matches the Rfam family "Bacterial small subunit ribosomal RNA", at positions 793 to 1055 of the family's 1533-position model. The record is from RNAcentral.
GUCCACGCUGUAAACGAUGGGCACUAGGUGUUCGGGGUAUUGACCCCCUGAGUGCCGCAGCUAACGCAUUAAGUGCCCCGCCUGGGGAAUACGGCCGCAAGGUUAAAACUCAAAGGAAUUGACGGGGGCCCGCACAAGCGGUGGAGCAUGUGGUUUAAUUCGACGCAACGCGAAGAACCUUACCUGGGCUAGACAACAUCGGACAGCCUCAGAAAUGAGGUCUCCCCGCAAGGGGCCGUGGUUCAGGUGCUGCAUGGCUGUCGU